CCCGCCAGAGGACCCCUAAACUCUGUUUCUAUAUGUAACUUCUGAGUAAAACCAUAAAUAAAUCAAAACUUUCAACAACGGAUCUCUUGGUUCUGGCAUCGAUGAAGAACGCAGCAAAAUGCGAUAAGUAAUGUGAAUUGCAGAAUUCAGUGAAUCAUCGAAUCUUUGAACGCACAUUGCGCCCGCCAGUAUUCUGGCGGGCAUGCCUGUUCGAGCGUCAUUUCAACCCUCAAGCCCAGCUUGGUGUUGGACUCGCGAGUCAAAUCGCGUUCCCCAAAUUGAUUGGCGGUCACGUCGAGCUUCCAUAGCGUAGUAGUAAAACCCUCGUUACUGGUAAUCGUCGCGGCCACGCCGUUAAACCCCAACUUCUGAAUGUUGACCUCGGAUCAGGUAGGAAUACCCGCUGAACUUAAGCAUAUC
This 420-nucleotide unclassified non-coding RNA is filed under the name Fusarium lateritium. Its description in RNAcentral is "sequence contains ITS1, 5.8S rRNA gene". The stretch from base 67 to 220 matches the Rfam family "5.8S ribosomal RNA". The record is from RNAcentral. Lineage: Eukaryota; Fungi; Ascomycota; Sordariomycetes; Hypocreales; Nectriaceae.